GACGAACGCUGGCGGCGCGCCUAACACAUGCAAGUCGAACGGAGCUGCGAGAAGCUUGCUUUUCUUAGCUUAGUGGCGAACGGGUGAGUAACGCGUGAGUAACCUGCCCUGGAGUGGGGGACAACAGUUGGAAACGACUGCUAAUACCGCAUAAGCCCACGAUCCGGCAUCGGAUUGAGGGAAAAGGAUUUAUUCGCUUCAGGAUGGACUCGCGUCCAAUUAGCUAGUUGGUGAGGUAACGGCCCACCAAGGCGACGAUUGGUAGCCGGGCUGAGAGGUUGAACGGCCACAGUGGGACUGAGACACGGCCCAGACUCCUACGGGAGGCAGCAGUGGGGGAUAUUGCACAAUGGGGGAAACCCUGAUGCAGCGACGCCGCGUGGAGGAAGAAGGUUUUCGGAUUGUAAACUCCUGUCGUUAGGGACGAUAAUGACGGUACCUAACAAGAAAGCACCGGCUAACUACGUG
This 468-nucleotide ribosomal RNA is filed under the name uncultured bacterium. RNAcentral describes it as "partial 16S ribosomal RNA". It matches the Rfam family "Bacterial small subunit ribosomal RNA", at positions 28 to 507 of the family's 1533-position model. The record is from RNAcentral.